RNAcentral lists this ribosomal RNA (468 nucleotides) under uncultured bacterium. RNAcentral's name for it is "partial 16S ribosomal RNA". It matches the Rfam family "Bacterial small subunit ribosomal RNA", at positions 28 to 507 of the family's 1533-position model. The record is from RNAcentral.
GACGAACGCUGGCGGCGUGCUUAACACAUGCAAGUCGAACGGAAAGGCCCUGCUUUUGUGGGGUGCUCGAGUGGCGAACGGGUGAGUAACACGUGAGUAACCUGCCCUUGACUUUGGGAUAACUUCAGGAAACUGGGGCUAAUACCGGAUAGGAGCUCCUGCUGCAUGGUGGUGGUUGGAAAGUUUCGGCGGUUGGGGAUGGACUCGCGGCUUAUCAGCUUGUUGGUGGGGUAGUGGCUUACCAAGGCUUUGACGGGUAGCCGGCCUGAGAGGGUGACCGGCCACAUUGGGACUGAGAGACGGCGCAGACUCCUACGGGAGGCAGCAGUGGGGAAUAUUGCAGAAUGGGCGGAAGCCUGAUGCAGCAACGCCGCGUGCGGGAUGACGGCCUUCGGGUUGUAAACCGCUUUCGCCUGUGACGAAGAGUGAGUGACGGUAAUGGGUAAAGAAGCACCGGCUAACUACGUG